AGCAGCCGCGGUAAUUCCAGCUCCAAUAGCGUAUAUUAAAGUUGUUGCAGUUAAAAAGCUCGUAGUUGAAUUUCGGGAUCAAUAUGUUGGUCGUGCCUCGGUACGUACUAGCUUAUUGGUUUCUCCCUUCUGACGAACCAUGAUGUCAUUUAUUUGGUGUUAUGGGAAAUCAGGACUGUUACUUUGAAAAAAUUAGAGUGUUUAAAGCAGGCUCACGCUUGAAUACAUUAGCAUGGAAUAAUGAAAUAGGACGUUUUGAUUCUAUUUUGUUGGUUUCUAGGAUCGACGUAAUGAUUAAUAGGGAUAGUUGGGGGCAUUAGUAUUCAAUUGUCAGAGGUGAAAUUCUUGGACUUAUUGAAGACUAACUACUGCGAAAGCAUUUGCCAAGGGUGUUUUCAUUAAUCAAGAACGAAAGUUAGGGGAUCGAAGACGAUCAGAUACCGUCGUAGUCUUAACCAUAAACUAUGCCGACUAGGGAUCGGAUGAUGUUAAUUUUUAAUGACUCAUUCGGCGCCUUACG
RNAcentral lists this unclassified non-coding RNA (520 nucleotides) under uncultured Glomus. Its description in RNAcentral is "SSU rRNA". It matches the Rfam family "Eukaryotic small subunit ribosomal RNA", at positions 569 to 1092 of the family's 1831-position model. Lineage: Eukaryota; Fungi; Glomeromycota; Glomeromycetes; Glomerales; Glomeraceae. The record is from RNAcentral.